UGAUUAGAGGCAAUCGAACCUAUGUAUACAACACUGGGACAGGCGGGUGUGGAGCCUUGCUUCUCUUUCUUUUUAAGAGGAGGGGUGAGCUCUUCCCCACUCGUCGCGUUGAGGGGAAUAUGGCGCAUUGUAU
RNAcentral lists this ribosomal RNA (133 nucleotides) under Chloromonas arctica. RNAcentral describes it as "5.8S ribosomal RNA". The record is from RNAcentral. Lineage: Eukaryota; Viridiplantae; Chlorophyta; Chlorophyceae; Chlamydomonadales; Chlamydomonadaceae.